This 61-nucleotide non-coding RNA is filed under the name unclassified sequences. RNAcentral describes it as "Transposase-1 RNA". It matches the Rfam family "Transposase-1 RNA". From Rfam's summary of the family: Lactobacillales (Firmicutes). Environment (Human Microbiome Project, vagina) The record is from Rfam by way of RNAcentral.
CGUUCAGAGAUUGCCUCUGUCGUUACUUACUCUAUGUAUGUGAUGGGAAUGCAGUUGCUGA